GCAGGGAGAUCCACCAGCGAACUCAAUGCCAGUGUGAAGCCCUCCUGCCACAGAACGACAAACUAUCUCCAGUAAAUUAUUUUAAUUUCAUUGAAUCUGCGGCUCAGAGUCUUCUCUUGAUCUGACACAGCAGUCGUUUUGGUCUCAACUGUUCAUUUCCCUCCUAACAAUGUCAAAAUAAUUAUUAAAGCAUAUACUCAAUCAUCUAAUCAUUCAUGGGUCAUUAUUUGUGCUCACUUUAUAUUGAACUUCAGCACAAAUGCUUGAUUAACAAUGUGGAAAUAUCAAACCAAUACGAAUGUAAUGUGAAACCUGAAUAUUAGCCUGUAGGUAAUUAAUGCGCCACUCAUCAAUAAAGACACACAGAACUUGUUUGAUGAGCUCUUAUAUUGGGGAUGCAGAAUGUUUUCAUUGCUUACAGAUUUAAUUGACGCAGACACAAAUGAUAAUUUUACCAACAAAAAUACGAACACAUUUCCUUCACUAAAUGCCUUAUAAAGAUGACUGGCUGCUUUAUUUUUAAUCCUAAAUUGUAUUAAGCCGUUCAAUAAGUUUUAAAUUAUGAGUAUUUCUGUUGCUGAAUGAAAACGCAAUGAGUGGAUGUAAAAAAUCUUGUGAAUUCUGCAAGAGGCAGAUUUGGUCAGUCUUUCUCCAAUAGUAUCUGCAUGCAGACUUGGAUUUGCAAACUGAGACUGCAUAUAUUAGACUUACAAUGUCAGACGCUGCACUCAAUGGAGCUAGUUACGUCAUUGUGAGGGGUGGGGUUAGGGGUGCGCUUUAAAGCGCAGAUCCCAUUCGCUCCACUAGGCGGAAUCAGCGAGCUGCUCUUUUAGCCUGAACACCUUUGACAACAGCAACACCAGAUCAGCACAGGUACACCGUUUUACUGGCGUCAAGUUGAGCUCCAGUAGCAGAUGACAGCUCAGUGACAGACUCAUAAUGUCAGUCAACAGCAGAUAUUACAGCCCGACAGCGAAGAAAAGCCACACCAAGUGCAGAAAUGGAGAGUAACGCGACUCACCUCAGUGAAGAUACACACGUGUGUCUGUUGUGUUUCUGCUGCAGAUCUUUGAGCUGCGCUCAACAGCUGACGCUCCUCCACACGCUCCUCCACAUCCAGGCGGAUUCACAGCUCCAGGAAAGGUCAGCAGUGACAUAAAUUCCAGCAGGCAUCCAGACAGGAGAUCAGUGGCUCUGUGGUAAGAUCGC
Molecule: non-coding RNA, 1209 nt
Organism: Danio rerio (zebrafish)
Lineage: Eukaryota; Metazoa; Chordata; Actinopteri; Cypriniformes; Danionidae
Source: RefSeq, a predicted model, not a curated record